GACGAACGCUGGCGGCGUGGAUUAGGCAUGCAAGUCGAACGGUAGGAUACCUUCGGGUAUCUGAGAGUGGCGAACGGGUGAGUAACACGUAGGUGAUCUACCCUCAAGAUUGGGACAACCCAGGGAAACUUGGGCUAAUACCGGAUGAAAGCAGCAGUGAUGUUGUUUGAAAGGUGGCGUAAGCUGCCGUUUGGGGAUGAGCCUGCGCUCUAUUAGUUAGUUGGCGGGGUAAAGGCCCACCAAGGCGAUGAUAGAUAGGCGGCCUUAACGGGUGGUCGCCCACACUGGGAUUGAGAUACGGCCCAGACUCCUACGGGAGGCAGCAGUCGAGAAUAGUCUACAAUGGCCGAAAGGCUGAUAGUGCGACGCCGCGUGAACGAAGAAGCCCUUCGGGGGUAAAGUUCUUUUAUAUGUGAGCAGUGCUUUCUAUGUGACAGCAUGGGGAGAGAGAUAUUAGCAUAUGAAUAAGCAACGGCUAACUCGUGCCAGUCA
RNAcentral lists this ribosomal RNA (492 nucleotides) under uncultured bacterium. RNAcentral's name for it is "bacterial SSU rRNA". It matches the Rfam family "Bacterial small subunit ribosomal RNA", at positions 28 to 514 of the family's 1533-position model. The record is from RNAcentral.